RNAcentral lists this ribosomal RNA (303 nucleotides) under uncultured bacterium. Its description in RNAcentral is "partial 16S ribosomal RNA". It matches the Rfam family "Bacterial small subunit ribosomal RNA", at positions 507 to 807 of the family's 1533-position model. The record is from RNAcentral.
AGCAGCAGCCGCGGGAAUACGUAGGUGGCAAGCGUUGUCCGGAAUUAUUGGGCGUAAAGGGCUCGUAGGCGGUUUCUUAAGUCUGAUGUGAAAGCCCCCGGCUCAACCGGGGAGGGUCAUUGGAAACUGGGAAACUUGAGUGCAGAAGAGGAGAAUGGAAUUCCACGUGUAGCGGUGAAAUGCGUAGAGAUGUGGAGGAACACCAGUGGCGAAGGCGACUCUCUGGUCUGUAACUGACGCUGAGGAGCGAAAGCGUGGGGAGCGAACAGGAUUAGAUACCCCAGUAGUCCCUGUCUCUUAUAC